This 100-nucleotide non-coding RNA is filed under the name Spiroplasma mirum. RNAcentral's name for it is "Guanine sequence". It matches the Rfam family "Purine riboswitch aptamer". From Rfam's summary of the family: Riboswitches are metabolite binding domains within certain messenger RNAs that serve as precision sensors for their corresponding targets. The record is from RNAcentral. Lineage: Bacteria; Bacillati; Mycoplasmatota; Mollicutes; Entomoplasmatales; Spiroplasmataceae. RNAcentral also lists the same sequence under 1 other name.
AAAUUAGCAAUCUGUAUAACCUGUAUGUGUUAGUAAUAUGGUCUAACGUCUCUACAACUAUCCAUUGUAAUUAGGUACUAUAGGUUAAUGUUUUUCCUUU